GCCAUCGUGGCUCAGUUGGUAGAGCAGACGAUUCGUAAUCGUCAGGUCGUGGGUUCGAUCCCCACCGAUGGCU
Molecule: transfer RNA, 73 nt
Filed under: Anaerolineaceae bacterium
Lineage: Bacteria; Bacillati; Chloroflexota; Anaerolineae; Anaerolineales; Anaerolineaceae
Description: tRNA-Thr
Rfam family: tRNA
About the family: Transfer RNA (tRNA) molecules are approximately 80 nucleotides in length.
Source: RNAcentral